AGGUCAGUGGCUCAAUUGGCAGAGCACUGGUCUCCAAAACCGGGGGUUGCAAGUUCGAGUCUUGCCGGGCAUGCCA
This 76-nucleotide transfer RNA is filed under the name Synergistales bacterium. RNAcentral describes it as "tRNA-Trp". It matches the Rfam family "tRNA". From Rfam's summary of the family: Transfer RNA (tRNA) molecules are approximately 80 nucleotides in length. Their secondary structure includes four short double-helical elements and three loops (D, anti-codon, and T loops). Further hydrogen bonds mediate the characteristic L-shaped molecular structure. tRNAs have two regions of fundamental functional importance: the anti-codon, which is responsible for specific mRNA codon recognition, and the 3' end, to which the tRNAs corresponding amino acid is attached (by aminoacyl-tRNA synthetases). tRNAs cope with the degeneracy of the genetic code in two manners: having more than one tRNA (with a specific anti-codon) for a particular amino acid; and 'wobble' base-pairing, i.e. permitting non-standard base-pairing at the 3rd anti-codon position. The record is from RNAcentral. Lineage: Bacteria; Thermotogati; Synergistota; Synergistia; Synergistales.